RNAcentral lists this unclassified non-coding RNA (279 nucleotides) under Nosema mylitta. The record is from RNAcentral. Lineage: Eukaryota; Fungi; Microsporidia; Nosematidae.
AUAAAAAAGAUGAGAUUAUUAUAAUGAAAGUGUAUACUGACAUUAUAAUAAUCUUGUCUAUGUUCUAAAUACAAAAUACCUUCACGAGGUUUAGAAUGAGUGAUAUAAGAAAGUUAUAUUAGCUAAAUUGAUUUGUGUUAAAAAAUUGAAAUUAUAUUUAUUUUUUGUAAGUAGUAAGAAGUAGUGAAAUAUUUAUAUAUGAGAUAUAUAUGGAUAAUUUCUUUCUUUGGUUUGAUCUAUUAUAAAUGACAUAUAUAUGUUAACAUAUUUUUACUAUAC